This 251-nucleotide ribosomal RNA is filed under the name uncultured bacterium. Its description in RNAcentral is "partial 16S ribosomal RNA". It matches the Rfam family "Bacterial small subunit ribosomal RNA", at positions 526 to 776 of the family's 1533-position model. The record is from RNAcentral.
CGUAGGGUCCGAGCGUUGUCCGGAAUUACUGGGCGUAAAGCGCGCGCAGGCGGCCCGCGAGGUGUCACGUGAAAGCCCCGGGCUCAACCCGGGAGGGUCGUGGCAAACCGGCGGGCUUGAGGCCGGUAGAGGUGGGUGGAACUCCUGGUGGAGUGGUGAAAUGCGUAGAGAUCAGGAAGAACACCCGUGGCGAAGGCGGCCCACUGGGCCGGUACUGACGCUGAGGCGCGAAGGCGUGGGGAGCGAACGGG